RNAcentral lists this ribosomal RNA (267 nucleotides) under uncultured archaeon. Its description in RNAcentral is "partial 16S ribosomal RNA". It matches the Rfam family "Archaeal small subunit ribosomal RNA", at positions 717 to 982 of the family's 1478-position model. The record is from RNAcentral.
ACACGACUACAUUAGAUACCCGGGUAGUCCCAGCCCUAAACGAUGCGCGUUAGGUGUAUCGGUGACCACGAGUCACCGAGGUGCCGAAGGGAAACCGUGAAACGUGCCGCCGUGGGAAGUACGGUCGCAAGGCUGAAACGUUAAAGGAAUUGGCGGGGGAGCACCACAACGGGUGGAGCCUGCGGUUUAAUUGGACUCAACGCCGGGAAGCUCACCGGAUAAGACAGCGGAAUGAUUGCCGGGCUGAAGACCCUGCAUGACCAGCUG